CGCGCGAUACAGGGUGACAGCCCCGUACACAAAAGCGCAUGUGCUGUGAGCUCGAUGAGUAGGGCGGGACACGUGGUAUCCUGUCUGAAUAUGGGGGGACCAUCCUCCAAGGCUAAAUACUCCUGACUGACCGAUAGUGAACCAGUACCGUGAGGGAAAGGCGAAAAGAACCCCGGCGAGGGGAGUGAAAAAGAACCUGAAACCGUGUACGUACAAGCAGUGGGAGC
RNAcentral lists this ribosomal RNA (227 nucleotides) under Salmonella enterica subsp. enterica serovar Thompson. Its description in RNAcentral is "partial 23S ribosomal RNA". It matches the Rfam family "Bacterial large subunit ribosomal RNA", at positions 351 to 580 of the family's 2925-position model. RNAcentral also lists the same sequence under 3 other names. Lineage: Bacteria; Pseudomonadati; Pseudomonadota; Gammaproteobacteria; Enterobacterales; Enterobacteriaceae. The record is from RNAcentral.